This 253-nucleotide ribosomal RNA is filed under the name uncultured bacterium. RNAcentral describes it as "partial 16S ribosomal RNA". It matches the Rfam family "Bacterial small subunit ribosomal RNA", at positions 524 to 776 of the family's 1533-position model. The record is from RNAcentral.
UACGUAGGGGGCUAGCGUUGUCCGGAAUCAUUGGGCGUAAAGCGCGUGUAGGCGGCCCGGUAAGUCCGCUGUAAAAGUCGGGGGCUCAACCCUCGAAAGCCGGUGGAUACUGUCGGGCUAGAGUACGGAAGAGGCGAGUGGAAUUCCUGGUGUAGCGGUGAAAUGCGCAGAUAUCGUAAGGAAGACCAGUGGCGAAGGCGGGUCUCUGGACAGUUCCUGACGCUGAGGCACGAAGGCCAGGGGAGCAAACGGG